GCCGGGAUAGCUCAGUUGGKAGAGCAGGGGACUGAAAAUCCUCGUGU
This 47-nucleotide transfer RNA is filed under the name Cheilolejeunea filiformis. Its description in RNAcentral is "Omphalanthus filiformis partial tRNA-Phe". The record is from RNAcentral. RNAcentral also lists the same sequence under 1 other name. Lineage: Eukaryota; Viridiplantae; Streptophyta; Jungermanniopsida; Porellales; Lejeuneaceae.